GAGGGUAUAGCUCAAGUGGUAGAGUGCAUGUUUAGCACGCAUGAGGUCCUGGGUUCAAUCCCUAGUACCUCCA
Molecule: transfer RNA, 73 nt
Filed under: Camelus bactrianus (Bactrian camel)
Lineage: Eukaryota; Metazoa; Chordata; Mammalia; Artiodactyla; Camelidae
Also listed under: 2 other names
Rfam family: tRNA
About the family: Transfer RNA (tRNA) molecules are approximately 80 nucleotides in length.
Source: Rfam by way of RNAcentral